GACCUGGGGUUUAAUAACUAGUAUAUGCUAAAACCCCCAAAUCCUAAUCCUAAUAAAUAUAAUGCUGCGGCCUGCAUCGGCUGCUUUGCUUGACGAAACAAUAUAGACCAGUUGCUCAAACCCAGUCGGAAUCGGUUGCUGUUGCUGUGAAGUCAUUGAAAAUUGACUCAUUCAGGUAAAUUGAAAAUUAUUAUGUGAAAGGAGCUGCUGAUGUGGAGGAAUGGUGAAUUUUAAGCAAAGGCACUUGAAUAAGAUGGCAAUGUGACUUUGAUUCUUUCAAUUGAUGGAAUGCUUCGAGCUGUUUCUCAAGGAGCAAUUGGAAAUGCCUAUUGAAGCAAUGACGAUAAAACGGUGCUUAUAUUUUUUUCAUCUUCAUUCCAUGUUUAGUUAUUCAUUGAUCAAUUAAUGGUUGACCAAGUUUA
This is a long non-coding RNA of Quercus lobata, 422 nucleotides long. RefSeq lists it as uncharacterized. NCBI's taxonomy places the organism in Eukaryota, Viridiplantae, Streptophyta, Magnoliopsida, Fagales, Fagaceae. The record is from RefSeq and is a predicted model, not a curated record. The transcript is spliced from 3 exons.